RNAcentral lists this ribosomal RNA (805 nucleotides) under uncultured bacterium. Its description in RNAcentral is "bacterial SSU rRNA". It matches the Rfam family "Bacterial small subunit ribosomal RNA", at positions 8 to 807 of the family's 1533-position model. The record is from RNAcentral.
AGAGUUUGAUCCUGGCUCAGGACGAACGCUGGCGGCGUGCCUAACACAUGCAAGUCGAACGAGAAUCUGUAGACUGAGGCCUUCGGGUCGACGGAAGCAGAGGACAGUGGCGAACGGGUGAGUAACGCGUGAGGAACCUGCCUUACAGAGGGGGACAACAGCUGGAAACGGCUGCUAAUACCGCAUAAUGUAUCCAAGGGGCAUCCCAUGGAUACCAAAGGAGCAAUCCGCUGAAAGAUGGCCUCGCGUCUGAUUAGAUAGUUGGAGGGGUAACGGCCCACCAAGUCGACGAUCAGUAGCCGGACUGAGAGGUUGAACGGCCACAUUGGGACUGAGAUACGGCCCAGACUCCUACGGGAGGCAGCAGUGGGGAAUAUUGGGCAAUGGGGGAAACCCUGACCCAGCAACGCCGCGUGAAGGAAGAAGGCUUUCGGGUUGUAAACUUCUUUUACCAGGGACGAAGGACGUGACGGUACCUGGAGAAAAAGCCACGGCUAACUACGUGCCAGCAGCCGCGGUAAUACGUAGGUGGCAAGCGUUGUCCGGAUUUACUGGGUGUAAAGGGCGUGUAGGCGGAGCAGCAAGUCAGAUGUGAAAUCUAUGGGCUUAACCCAUAAACUGCAUUUGAAACUGUUGUCCUUGAGUAUCGGAGAGGCAGGCGGAAUUCCUAGUGUAGCGGUGAAAUGCGUAGAUAUUAGGAGGAACACCAGUGGUGAAGGCGGCCUGCUGGACGACAACUGACGCUGAGGCGCGAAAGCGUGGGGAGCAAACAGGAUUAGAUACCCCGGUAGUCCUGGCUGUAAAC